Molecule: long non-coding RNA, 536 nt
Organism: Melanotaenia boesemani (Boeseman's rainbowfish)
Lineage: Eukaryota; Metazoa; Chordata; Actinopteri; Atheriniformes; Melanotaeniidae
Exons: 4
Source: RefSeq, a predicted model, not a curated record
GUCUCUCCACAGAUUAUCUGUCUCCUGAUCAGUGGUCAGCUCUGGUCUUCAUCUUACUGUCAUCAGAAGAAGAUCUGGAGGUGUUUGACCUGGAGAAAUUCUCUCCUUCAGAGUGGGUUCUUCUGAGGCUGCUGCCAGUGGUCAAAGCCUCCAGCAAAGCUCUACUGAGCAGCUGUUCCCUCUCAGAUGAAGGAUGUUCAGCUCUGUCCUCAGCUCUCAGCUCUCCGUCCUCCAGACUGAAGGACCUGGACCUGAGCAUCAAGGACUCAGGACUGAAGAAGCUUUGUGAUCAACUGCAGAGUCCAGGCUGCAGACUGGAAACUCUCAGGCUGACUGUCUCCAACCUCUCAGAGAGAAGCUGUGAACUUCUGUCCUCGGCUCUCAGCUCCCGGUCCUUCUGUCUGGAAGAGCUGCAGCUGAGAAGCUGCAGCCUGGAGAGAACAGGAGUGAAGCUGCUGUGUGCUCUACAGAGUCCAUCAUGUGACCUGCAAACUCUCAGGCUGAGUGCGUGUGGUCUCUCAGAGACAAGCUGUGGA